Molecule: ribosomal RNA, 490 nt
Filed under: uncultured bacterium
Lineage: Bacteria
Description: partial 16S ribosomal RNA
Rfam family: Bacterial small subunit ribosomal RNA
Source: RNAcentral
AUUGAACGCUGGCGGCAGGCCUAACACAUGCAAGUCGAACGGUAACAGGAAGCAGCUUGCUGCUUUGCUGACGAGUGGCGGACGGGUGAGUAAUGUCUGGGAAACUGCCUGAUGGAGGGGGAUAACUACUGGAAACGGUAGCUAAUACCGCAUAACGUCGCAAGACCAACGAGGGGGACCUUCGGGCCUCUUGCCAUCGGAUGUGCCCAGAUGGGAUUAGCUAGUAGGUGGGGUAACGGCUCACCUAGGCGACGAUCCCUAGCUGGUCUGAGAGGAUGACCAGCCACACGGGAACUGAGACACGGUCCAGACUCCUACGGGAGGCAGCAGUGGGGAAUAUUGCACAAUGGGCGCAAGCCUGAUGCAGCCAUGCCGCGUGUAUGAAGAAGGCCUUCGGGUUGUAAAGUACUUUCAGCGGGGAGGAAGGGAGUAAAGUUAAUACCUUUGCUCAUUGACGUUACCCGCAGAAGAAGCACCGGCUAACUCCGUG